GGGUGGGGGAAGCAGUGCAGCGUCUUUGUGCAUGCGCAUGAGAGAGCACAAGUGGAGGGGCAGAUGGUUGCACAUGUGCGUGCAGGAAAGCAGAGUCUCAGCAGAGUCCCUGGCAGGACGCAAGGAGUGGGACCAGACCUGCUUUUCACGAGGAUAACAGGGAGCAGAGCAAAUGCUGUGUGAAUGCUGAUGAAAACUCCUUACAGAAAACUCUAUGGAGCGGAGGAACCUAGAGAUGAUGUGGAGCGGCCAGCAGGAGCUCUGCCUCUUUAGCUUCCUAGGUGAGAAGAGUCAGGGUAACAGAUCAAGCUGCACUGAAGAAAAAGGAAGACAGGAGCCUGGACACUAAGAAAGAGGUACCAUGGUCCCAGUGCAACAAGUAAGUAUGUGAAAGAACAUGCAAACGUAAAGGAGGACCCAGCUUACCCUCCCUCGAAGACAAUAUGGAUCAGAUAAAUAACCAGGAAAACAAUCUCCUUCACAGUAACCUCUUCCCUGCUCUCGGUUGACAAAAACAGCAGCAGCAGCAGCAGCAGCAGCAGCAGCAGCAGCAGCAGCAGCAGCAGCAGCAGCACCACCACCACCACCA
Molecule: non-coding RNA, 589 nt
Organism: Rattus norvegicus (Norway rat)
Lineage: Eukaryota; Metazoa; Chordata; Mammalia; Rodentia; Muridae
Source: RefSeq, a predicted model, not a curated record